AAGAAACUUGUCAAAGCCAUCAGCUUUGCCUGUCUCAAAUGACUGCCCCGAGACCUACGUGCAAGAGGUCCUUCCUGUAGGAACCCAGUGCACAAAGAAACCAGGAAGCCCCUUUCUGUCACCAUUGCUGCCCAGCUAAAAGUGUUUCUGUCAAGUUCACAUCCUCCCACCAAGCACCCACGGGUGGCAAUAUUCCAUUGCAUUCUGUCAGCUCCGCAAGUCUCUCUUCUACAACUGUUGCCUGCCUAUGGCACAGGCUCCAACCCAGAAAGUGCAGGAACACUAGCCGGCCCUGACCCUCAGCAGCAGUGGCAAGACAGCCUCUCCCACAGGGCUCUCAAGACCAGAGUCCUAGACUUCACUGCUUCACGGCGUUGAUAUCACAAACAGAUUGUAAGCCUGCCAAGAACAUGGUGCUCUCAGCCUUAAGAUGGAGACAGCAGUAAACCGAAGGUAUCGUUGUAAGAUGAAGCCAGAGCAAAUGGAUAAGCUCCUAUAGCACUGUGCCCGGUGCACAGUAAGUCUUCCUAAGUGUGAACAUUAUGUGGAAUGAUGAUUAUGAUGGUGGUGGUGAUGAUGAUGGUAAUGAUGGUGGUGAUGAUGAUAGUGGUAGUGGUCAUGGUCAUGGUGAUGGUGGUGGUGGUAAAUUCAGGCAUGCAGCUACCCCAACUCCUCCUACAGCACACAUCACAUCCAGCUAAAGCAGUGGUUCUCAGCCUUCCAUAAUGUCCCAUUAUGUCAACUCCUCAUGUCGUGGUGACCACCAACCAUAAAAUUAUUCUGUUGCUACUUAAUAACAGUAAUUUCACUACUGUUAUGAACUGGAAUAUCUGACAUGCAGGAUAUCUGAUAUCUAACCCCCAAAGGGGUCAUGACCCACAGGUUGAGAACUGCUGAUCUAGUGCUAAAGGGCUAAAGGACCAGCCUGAGGAAUGCGUCCUGUACUUUUGUGGUCAGCUGAACAGAAUUCAGUCGCCACAGCAGAUGCUAAAUGAGCUCCCAGUAAAGAAUCUAAGAACAUCCCCGUCUUCUCUCCUUCCUUCCCACCCAACACCAGAAUAGGUGGGUUUACAAAGUUUGUGACAGAUUAGAAUCGGUGAACUUAACUACUUGUUCUUAUAUUACGUCAUCAGGAUUAGUAGAUCUCUGUGAUCUAGGGGCUGGAACUUGGCCACACAUGGGAUAAGGAACUCCAGAAUUCAUUCAGCACAUGGAAUCGGUACUCUGUGAUGAAGAGAAUUUUUUGCUAGCUCUAAAAAGCUGUUUCUGAUGAGUCAUAAACCUGCUUGUGUAUUCUAACACAUUUGCUAGUGGUGAAAACUAAGCUGACAGUAAAUAUGGUGAUGGGGACAGUUUAAAAGUGCCCCCAGUCCUGAAUACCUCACAAGUUUCACCUUGGUCUUCAAAGCCACCCUGUGUGGGAGGGGCUCUCGAUGUCCCAUGUCAUAGACAAGGACCCACACGAAAGUGCUAUCUGCACCCCGGGAGCAGAGUCAGUGUAAUUAGCCAAUGGGGAACCCUCUCCAGGCACCUGGGCCUUCCUUGACCUCUGGCUAUGCUGUCCCCAGGAGGGAGUGCUCAGCUUUCAGAAAGUUUGUACACUGAAUAAAACAUGUCUGACUACUUAGUUUCUUUACUCAUUGCUGGAACCAAACACUUGACAAAGGCACCUUAGAGGAGAAGGGAUUGCUUUGGAUCACAGUUUGAAGAUAGAGCGUCCAUGGCUGUAGGAGCCGGAGGCAGCGGCUCACAGGGUGUCUGCAGUCAGGAAUCACAGAGAGAUGGAAGCUGGAGCUCGGCUCGAUUUCUCCUUUUUAUUCGGUCUGGGCCCCAGCCCACGGGAUAGUUAUGUUCAGUUGGGGUAGAUCUUUCCUGUCAAUGAACCCUGUCUGGAAACUUCCUCAUAGCAUGGCCAGAAGUUUGUCUCCUAUGUGAUUUUUACAGCUUGUCUCGUUGAUAAUGUUAACCACCACAUGGUUCAUCAGGCAAGUCACCCUGAACAAACCUACCUGCUGCAAUAUCAAACAGGUCUGACAGCUUCGGAAGAGGCCCUGUGCCCCCUCCAGAUUUGCAGGGGCUUAUGGUGGAGAGACCGGGAAGGCGCUGGCUUCAUGACGACAUAUAGAAACACGUGAUGGUGUCGGGAGAGGGUUGUGAUAAGGAAGCAUUGCUGAUAUAAAUUUAUAAGUUUCAAAAUGA
RNAcentral lists this long non-coding RNA (2199 nucleotides) under Mus pahari (shrew mouse). RNAcentral's name for it is "predicted gene, 32914 (MGP_PahariEiJ_G0005138.1)". The record is from RNAcentral. Lineage: Eukaryota; Metazoa; Chordata; Mammalia; Rodentia; Muridae.